RNAcentral lists this ribosomal RNA (468 nucleotides) under uncultured bacterium. RNAcentral's name for it is "partial 16S ribosomal RNA". It matches the Rfam family "Bacterial small subunit ribosomal RNA", at positions 28 to 507 of the family's 1533-position model. The record is from RNAcentral.
GACGAACGCUGGCGGCGUGCUUAACACAUGCAAGUCGAACGGAAAGGUCCUGCUUUUGUGGGGUGCUCGAGUGGCGAACGGGUGAGCAACACGUGAGUAACCUGCCCUUGACUUUGGGAUAACUUCAGGAAACUGGGGCUAAUACCGGAUAGGAGCUCCUGCUGCAUGGUGGGGGUUGGAAAGUUUCGGCGGUUGGGGAUGGACUCGCGGCUUAUCAGCUUGUUGGUGGGGUAGUGGCUUACCAAGGCUUUGACGGGUAGCCGGCCUGAGAGGGUGACCGGCCACAUUGGGACUGAGAUACGGCCCAGACUCCUACGGGAGGCAGCAGUGGGGAAUAUUGCACAAUGGGCGGAAGCCUGAUGCAGCAACGCCGCGUGCGGGAUGACGGCCUUCGGGUUGUAAACCGCUUUCGCCUGUGACGAAGCGUGAGUGACGGUAAUGGGUAAAGAAGCACCGGCUAACUACGUG